AACCUGCCUUCCAGAGGGGGACAACAGUUGGAAACGACUGCUAAUACCGCAUGACGCAUUGGUGUCGCAUGGCACUGAUGUCAAAGAUUUAUCGCUGGAAGAUGGCCUCGCGUCUGAUUAGCUAGUUGGUGAGGUAACGGCCCACCAAGGCGACGAUCAGUAGCCGGACUGAGAGGUUGGCCGGCCACAUUGGGACUGAGAUACGGCCCAGACUCCUACGGGAGGCAGCAG
Molecule: ribosomal RNA, 231 nt
Filed under: uncultured bacterium
Lineage: Bacteria
Description: partial 16S ribosomal RNA
Rfam family: Bacterial small subunit ribosomal RNA
Source: RNAcentral